CAUGUCUGUACGCUUCUUUGGAGGUUACAAGGAUAUCGCACAAUGCCAGCUCUGAAAGAGCAACCGGCGACGUCAACAGCUUUCUUAUAUAAGGUGCCUGCAGACGAGGCAUCGCAAGCUGCUGCUUCAGAGUUGGCGCUCAUUUUAGCCAUAGAUCCUGCGAUGAUCCAGCGGUAGACUGAAGAUAUUCUACUUGGUCAGUCCUUGGUGAAAAUCAGUUUGAAACACACCAUGAAUUUUCAUUAUCUGUUCUUCGCACUCAUCUGCACCGCUCUGUCGUCCGCAAUGGCAAGUGUCUCCUCAGGAUCAUCCUGUGACUUCUCCAGUGUCAACGCCGAAGAUGCGAUUGAUAAACUUAUCGCCAAAUUUCCAGAAUA
Molecule: long non-coding RNA, 377 nt
Organism: Rhipicephalus microplus (southern cattle tick)
Lineage: Eukaryota; Metazoa; Arthropoda; Arachnida; Ixodida; Ixodidae
Source: RefSeq, a predicted model, not a curated record